AAAAAGACAAACCCUAGGUUUCCAUGUCCAACUUUAACUGUCCGUCUUAUAUAAAAUUUGUUUAUAAUUCGUAUUUUUAUUUUUGUUAGAUGAUAAAACAUGAUUAAUAUUUUAUGCGUAACUUGUCUUUUUAAUUUUUUUCAUAAUUUUUUCAAAUAAGAUGAACGGUCAAACAUUGGACACGGAAAUCAGGGUUUGUCUUUUU
RNAcentral lists this microRNA precursor (205 nucleotides) under Oryza glumipatula. RNAcentral describes it as "MIR812 microRNA precursor family". It matches the Rfam family "MIR812 microRNA precursor family". The record is from Rfam by way of RNAcentral. Lineage: Eukaryota; Viridiplantae; Streptophyta; Magnoliopsida; Poales; Poaceae.